This is a long non-coding RNA of Salmo salar (Atlantic salmon), 426 nucleotides long. RefSeq lists it as uncharacterized. Lineage: Eukaryota; Metazoa; Chordata; Actinopteri; Salmoniformes; Salmonidae. The record is from RefSeq and is a predicted model, not a curated record.
GUCAGCACGAGCUAGCAGGAUCUGCAGACAGCACUUCGCGAUGAAGGGCACUUUCGAUGCGGAAUCAUAGGCCAACGUUGAAGCCCUCUGCUUGCACCUCCAUUUUACAUUGAGGGUUAUGGUGUAGGGGUUACCGACCGACCAUCAUCGCUUAUGUCGGAGUUAAGCAAUUAAGACUGAACGGAGGAGGAGACGAGAGUCAAUGCAAUGGAGCCUGAGGAUGACAUCUUCAUCCCUGAAAAGGAGGCCGAGGAGGAAAGAAUGGUUAGUAGAGCAUGCCAAACUGACCCCUGGGUGACAGAGUGUUCCUGUGCUGCAGUGGAGAAGAGGUCCACUGGGACCAUCCCUAAAGAGCUCGAGGACCAGCUAGAUUAAGCUCACAACCAUCAGUGUACAACCGAGUCCUGCCCCUAUACGCCACAGAUG